This 83-nucleotide transfer RNA is filed under the name Acidimicrobiales bacterium. RNAcentral describes it as "tRNA-Leu". It matches the Rfam family "tRNA". From Rfam's summary of the family: Transfer RNA (tRNA) molecules are approximately 80 nucleotides in length. Their secondary structure includes four short double-helical elements and three loops (D, anti-codon, and T loops). RNAcentral also lists the same sequence under 1 other name. Lineage: Bacteria; Bacillati; Actinomycetota; Acidimicrobiia; Acidimicrobiales. The record is from RNAcentral.
GCCCGGGUGGCGGAAUGGCAGACGCGAUGGACUCAAAAUCCAUUGUCCGCAAGGGCGUGCGGGUUCGAAUCCCGCCCCGGGCA